RNAcentral lists this ribosomal RNA (520 nucleotides) under uncultured Entrophospora. Its description in RNAcentral is "SSU rRNA". It matches the Rfam family "Eukaryotic small subunit ribosomal RNA", at positions 569 to 1079 of the family's 1831-position model. Lineage: Eukaryota; Fungi; Glomeromycota; Glomeromycetes; Entrophosporales; Entrophosporaceae. The record is from RNAcentral.
AGCAGCCGCGGUAAUUCCAGCUCCAAUAGCGUAUAUUAAAGUUGUUGCAGUUAAAAAGCUCGUAGUUGAAUUUCGGGAUUGGCGCAUCGGUCGUGCCUCACGGGGUAUGAACUGGUGCAGUCAAUUUCUCACCUUCUGGAGAACCGCGAUGUCCUUAAUUGGAUGCCGCGGGGAACCAGGACCUUUACUUUAGAAAAAAUUAGAGUGUUUAAAGCAGGCAUUUUUGCUUGAAUACAUUAGCAUGGAAUAAUAAAAUAGGACGGCAUGGUUCUAUUUUGUUGAUUUCUAGGACCACCGUAAUGAUUAAUAGGGAUAGUUGGGGGCAUUAGUAUUCAAUUGUCAGAGGUGAAAUUCUUGGAUUUAUUGAAGACUAACUACUGCGAAAGUCAUUUGCCAAGGUAUGUCUUCAUUAAAUCAAGAACGAAAGUUAGGGGAUCGAAGACGAUCAGAUACCGUCGUAGUCUUAACCAUAAACCUAUGCCGACUAGGAAUCAGACGAUGUUAAUUUUUAAUGACUCGU